UGGCUUAUGAUGAAAGACUAAUUAUCUUAGCGGAUUUCAGUGAGAUUAUGAUUUCAUUAUAAUCCGUGAUCUGAUUGUUACACACACUGAAGCCU
Small nucleolar RNA from Salvia splendens (bonfire salvia), 95 nucleotides. RefSeq annotates it as small nucleolar RNA R11/Z151. NCBI's taxonomy places the organism in Eukaryota, Viridiplantae, Streptophyta, Magnoliopsida, Lamiales, Lamiaceae. The record is from RefSeq and is a predicted model, not a curated record. The transcript has a single exon.